Molecule: ribosomal RNA, 168 nt
Filed under: Aglaia oligophylla
Lineage: Eukaryota; Viridiplantae; Streptophyta; Magnoliopsida; Sapindales; Meliaceae
Also listed under: 1 other name
Description: 5.8S ribosomal RNA
Rfam family: 5.8S ribosomal RNA
About the family: 5.8S ribosomal RNA (5.8S rRNA) is a component of the large subunit of the eukaryotic ribosome. It is transcribed by RNA polymerase I as part of the 45S precursor that also contains 18S and 28S rRNA. Functionally, it is thought that 5.8S rRNA may be involved in ribosome translocation.
Source: RNAcentral
AAUACGACUCUCGGCAACGGAUAUCUCGGCUCUCGCAUCGAUGAAGAACGUAGCGAAAUGCGAUACUUGGUGUGAAUUGCAGAAUCCCGUGAACCAUCGAGUCUUUGAACGCAAGUUGCGCCCCAAGCCGUUGUAACGGUUUGGGGCACGUCUGCCUGGGUGUCACGC